CAGCCGCCGCGGUAAUACCGAGGGUGCGAGCGUUAAUCGGAUUUACUGGGCGUAAAGCGUGCGUAGGCGGCUUCUUAAGUCGGAUGUGAAAUCCCUGAGCUUAACUUAGGAAUUGCAUUCGAUACUGGGAAGCUAGAGUAUGGGAGAGGAUGGUAGAAUUCCAGGUGUAGCGGUGAAAUGCGUAGAGAUCUGGAGGAAUACCGAUGGCGAAGGCAGCCAUCUGGCCUAAUACUGACGCUGAGGUACGAAAGCAUGGGGAGCAAACAGGAUUAGAUACCCCCGUAGUCCCUGUCUCUUAUAC
RNAcentral lists this ribosomal RNA (301 nucleotides) under uncultured bacterium. Its description in RNAcentral is "partial 16S ribosomal RNA". It matches the Rfam family "Bacterial small subunit ribosomal RNA", at positions 509 to 807 of the family's 1533-position model. The record is from RNAcentral.